RNAcentral lists this ribosomal RNA (734 nucleotides) under uncultured archaeon. Its description in RNAcentral is "bacterial SSU rRNA". It matches the Rfam family "Archaeal small subunit ribosomal RNA", at positions 62 to 774 of the family's 1478-position model. The record is from RNAcentral.
GCGUCUCUAGCUAUGUUGAGACGCGGCAGACGGCUCAGUAACACGUGGCUAACCUACCCUCAGGACGAGGACAAACCCGGGAAACUGGGGCUAAUACUCGAUAGGUGAGGAUGUCUGGAAUGAUUUCUCACUCAAAGGGCUUUAGAAACAUGCUUCUAGAGUCGCCUGGGGAUGGGGCCGCGUCCGAUCAGGUUGUUGGUGAGGUAACGGCUCACCAAGCCUAUAACCGGUACGGGCCGUGAGAGCGGUAGCCCGGAGAUGGGUACUGAGACAAGGACCCAGGCCCUACGGGGCGCGGCAGUCGCGAAAACUCCGCAAUGCACGAAAGUGUGACGGGGCUACCCCGAGUGCCGUCCGCUGAGGAUGGCUUUUCCUUGGUGUAACUAGCCGGGGGAAUAAGGAGAGGGCAAGACUGGUGUCAGCCGCCGCGGUAAUACCAGCUCUCCGAGUGGUAGGGAUGAUUAUUGGGCUUAAAGCGUCCGUAGCCGGCUUAGUAAGUCCCCUGUUAAAUUCAGCGACCUAAUCGUUGAGCCGCGGGAGAUACUGCUAGGCUAGGAGGCGGGAGAGGUCGACGGUACUUCCGGGGUAGGGGUGAAAUCCUAUAAUCCCGGGAGGACCACCAGUGGCGAGGGCUGUCGACUAGAACGCGCUCGACGGUGAGGGACGAAAGCUGGGGUAGCGAACCGGAUUAGAUACCCGGGUAGUCCCAGCCGUAAACGAUGCGGGCUAGGUGU